RNAcentral lists this long non-coding RNA (1423 nucleotides) under Phocoena sinus (vaquita). RNAcentral's name for it is "lncRNA (ENSPSNG00000017169.1)". The record is from RNAcentral. Lineage: Eukaryota; Metazoa; Chordata; Mammalia; Artiodactyla; Phocoenidae.
GGGUAGUUUCCCGCUUCUGAGUCCCGGCCGUUGGCGGCUGUUGGCGGCCGUUACCUCCCCGUUGCCGGGAGGAGUCCGAGCGGAUUUAGAGUCCUCGGAAGUCCACCGUGCCGUCCGGCCACGGGUAGAGGGAGGCAAAGGGAAGGAGGACUUGACAGUGGGCCUGUCGGGGGCCAUUCGGUAAACUCCAAAGAGCCGAGGGUCCUGAGUGGGAGGGAGCCACGGGCUCGCGAGGAGGCUGCGAGGCGAUCCACGACCUUUCGGGAUGUGAUGCUCACCCGGGACGGGGCUGGGGGACCGCAGAGCCGUGACUCGCCCGGGACCCAGAGCAGAAACUCCAGGUCGCUUCUGGCAUUUUACCUGCAAAAGCAGAUGAGCACACGAGCCCAGAGAGCUGAUUUCCCCCGGUCGCACAGCUAGAGAGCCCAGGAUGGCUUCUUGCUCAGUGCCAUACUCUGUGAAAAUUAUUGGAGAGACCGGCCAGGCUCUAUGAAUGGCACCACCAUCCGUCAGGAGCUAGACCGUAACCUGGCAACUCCCCCCAGGUCCUCCUAUUAUCUUUCAAAUCCACCCUGUCUACCGCCUGCCUCAGUGAUGACAGAAGGGAGAGGAAGUGAUGAAGAGGAUUAACACCCUGCUUCUAAUUCUGGCCACCUCAGAGGCUCUGCACGGAAAAUCAGAAGUGACAGGAAUCCUGGAAGAGGGCCACCUGGCCAUCAGAAAAUUCCAGAGAGAUGUGGUCACUGCCAGACAUACAGUCGGUUAGUUUGAGUUUUUAAAUAUCUCAGGAAAUUAUAAAAGCUUGACUUUGACCCCCUGGUCUGAGAUUCCAAAAAGAAGCAGGGGAGAGUCCUCAAAAUGAACUUCUGAUGCUACAGUUGUAAAUGGUCCAAAGCGAGGGUGGGUUGGGGUGGGAAGGAGAAGAAGAAAAAGGAAGGAGGUAGCCAAGAAGAUUUACUCUCUUUGUGCAGGAAGCUGUUUGUUGAGAUCAGAUAUAUUUUUAAAUGGUGUAUGUAAAGUGUGAAUGAUGAUCUGGGAAAACAAGCAUGGAUAUAAAAAAACUGCCAAGAACGUGUGAGAAAAGAGUCAGAAAUACUAAAUCCAGAAGGAGGCUAACAUUCCCAAUGAUGAAGAGGGCUGUCAGAAACAAAAGCAAGUGUAGAAUCCAUGCAUGGCUGGGAUGGCGUUUCAUCCAUGUUAUGUCAGCAGUAAAGAUACAAGGUGACCACUCCCUCAGACUCUAUGUUACACUUUAGAAAGGAUGGGACAAAGUUUGGUAAGAGGGAUUGAAGAAUAAGAUCACUUAGGAGGAAAUGCUCGCUGUCCUAAAUAAGUUGAAACAUUGGUCUGGCAAUAACAAACCGAAAUAUUAAUAGAAUUUUCAGAUGAAAUUGCUUUAAUCAUUAAAAAUAUGAAGAUUGUA